AGGGCACCCCCCGGAGUGGAACCCGCCGCCUUAUUUGACUCCACACGGGAAAACUCACCCGGCCCGGACACUGGAAGGAUUGACAGAUUGAGAGCUCUUUCUUGAUUCAGUGGGUGGUGGUGCAUGGCCGUUCUUAGUUGGUGGAGUGAUUUGUCUGGUUAAUUCCGAUAACGAACGAGACGAUAGCCUACUAAAUAAAUCGUCGGCUGACGACACCGGCGGGACGACUUAGAAGGACGGGCGGUGAUUCAUCCGCCCGAAACAGAGCAAUAACAGGUCGGUGAUGCCGCUACGUGAAAUACAGCACAACCAGCGAACUAAAGAACUGAGAUCUCCGUGUUUUCAACCCCACACUGUCAAGUGUGGGGCACCCUAUGAACAUUACCCUGAUUGGGAUAGGGGAUUCAAAGUAUCUCCUUUGAGAAUGGAAUACGCGGUUAGAGCUAGUCCCAUUGACGCGUGGAUUACCUCUAUGCCCGAUGUACAAACUCCCGUUGAUUACUACCCCUGCAAUGUGUA
Molecule: ribosomal RNA, 519 nt
Filed under: uncultured eukaryote
Lineage: Eukaryota
Description: bacterial SSU rRNA
Rfam family: Eukaryotic small subunit ribosomal RNA
Source: RNAcentral